This 279-nucleotide long non-coding RNA is filed under the name Carica papaya (papaya). RNAcentral's name for it is "long non-coding RNA (CPAP_LNC012354)". The record is from RNAcentral. Lineage: Eukaryota; Viridiplantae; Streptophyta; Magnoliopsida; Brassicales; Caricaceae.
GUGUGGCCCAUUAGAGGUCGAGAGGUGGCUAAUGGUCGUCGAUGUUGGUGACGGGAGAGAAUGAUCAUUGUGUGUGUGUGGCCCAUUAGGGGUCAGUAGGUGGAUGAUGGUCGCCGAUGUUGGUGACGAGAGUGAAUGAUAAUGGUGUGCGUGCGUGGCCUAGUAGGGAUCGAGAGGCGGAUGGUGGUCGUCGAUUUUGGUGGCGGGUGACAAUGUUGGUAUGCUUGGGGUGGCGUUGGGGGACGGUCACCCUUGAUUGGUAUGAUCGUUGAGAUACCG